RNAcentral lists this long non-coding RNA (6799 nucleotides) under Salmo salar (Atlantic salmon). Its description in RNAcentral is "lncRNA (ENSSSAG00000082259.1)". Lineage: Eukaryota; Metazoa; Chordata; Actinopteri; Salmoniformes; Salmonidae. The record is from RNAcentral.
UACCCGUACCACUACUAUUUGGAAUAAUAAUCACAACAACAAUAAUAAUAGUAAUAACAAUAAUAGUAAUGACAAUAAUACUAAUAAUAAGUAAGUUACUGUUUACUAUGCAGAUGUUAUUAUUCAGUAUCCCUCAGGCUAUGGCAGGCAAAUACAUAUUUGGCUGAAAGAGGAGCCAUUGCUCCUUCACCAAUGAGUAUUUUUAGUUUUUCCUCUGAGAUUAAUAUGUUAAAAUCUGGAAUAAAUGUAGUCAUUUCUGUGAAUAAUUAAUAUCUUGGUGAGGAAUAUUUAUCACAGUAAAGGAGAAAGUGCAUCUCUCUUUCUACCUACCCUGUCGUGCAGUGACCACAUACACACUCCUCUUUGAGUAGCCAUGUCUUUAUAUGUCUGCCGGUUUCUAUUGGCAAUUGGUGGUCACUCAGCCUGUACUUGGUAAGGAUCUGUCUCUGCUUCGUAUCUCUGACAGAGUAGAGAUAAUCAGCCAAUUCAUAUUCUCUGUUUAGUGCCAGAUAGCAAUUUAGUCGUCUUUGGGAUUUUGUUUCGUUUUUCCAAUUUUGUAAAUAUGAGUCCUUUAAUUGGUUCAUGAUUUUGUUCUUUCUUUUGAAGCAGUGCUGGUGUCAGCUUGGUUGGUUAGGUCCAUCACCAGCUUACUGAGAGGGAUUGUUUCUGGGCCCAGCUCUUGGGUUUGGUGCUUUAAAUUGCAGACUUGAAUUUAGAUGUAGCAAAAAAAAUUAUGAUAUUUUCUGUAUUUUCAUUACCACUGGAAAGCGGCCCAAUUCUGCCCUACAUGCAUCAGUUGGUGUAUUUCUCUAGACUUGUAGAAUUUUCCGACAGAAUUCUGCACGUAGGGCUUCAAUUGGAUGUUUGUCCCACAUUUUAAAGUCCAGUUUAUUGAGUGGCCCCCAAACCUCACUUCCAUAAAGAGCUAUUGGUAGGAUUAUACAGUCAAAUAUUUUGGUCCAAAUUCUAAUUAGGAUGUUGAUUUUGAAUAAUUUCAUUUUUGUUGCAUACAAUGCUCUGCAGGCUUUUUCUUUGAGUACAUUCACUGCCAUACUAAAGUUUCCCGAUGCAGAUAUGGUCAGACCAAGGUACGAGUAAUUUUUAGUGUGUUCAAUUAUGGUGUUGUUCAGGGUGAAUUUAUAUUUGUGUUUCUGACAUCUGUUUUUUGGGGGGGAAAUCAUGAUUUUAGUUUUUUUUUUAAAUGUAUUGCCAGGGCCCAAUUAUGGCAAUAUUGCUCUAGAAUGUUAUGGUUCUGUUGAAGACCUUCUUUGGUUGGUGAGUACCAAAUCAUCAGCAUAUAGCAGGUAUUUUACCUCUGUGUCAAAUAGUGUAAGUCCUGGGGCUGGAGAAUGGUCCAACAUGGCUGCUAAUUCAUUGAUAUAAAUGUUGAAAAGAUUUGGACUCAAACUGCAGCCUUGUCUCACACUUCGAUGUUGUGAAAAUAAUUAUGUUCUUUGGUUUUGGAUUUUUAUUGCACACUUGUUUUCUGUGUACAUACAUUUUAUUCUUUCAUACAUCUUACCACCAAGCCCACUUUGGAGAAUUUUGUAAAGUAGCCCUUUGUGCCAAAUAGAAUCAAAUGCUUUUUUAAAGUCAAUAAAGCAAGCAAAGAUUUUUCCCUCUCUUUUUCGGUGGACGUGUUUAUUAAUUAGUGUGUGUAAGGUGUAUAUAUGGUCAGUAGUGCGAUGGUUAGGGAGAAAGCCAAUUUGACAUUUACUUAUUACAUUUUUUUCUUGAAGAAAGAUUUGAAUUCUUGAAUAAUAAUACCAUGUUGAACAAUUUAAGCACAGCAUUUUGAAACUUUAAUUUCUGAUGUUAUCUAGACCACAAGCUUUCUUUAAUUUUAUAGAUAUGAUCUUUUCAUUUAGUUCUUGUUGGGUUAUUGGGUAAUCUAAUGGAUUUUGGUUAUUUUUAAUGACUGAAUCAAGGAUGUAACAUUUUUCUUGAAUUUCUAAUUGGUUAUGUUGUAAGUCUUUUUGUGGGUUGUUUUUGUAUAGAUUAUCAAAAUAAGUUUUCCAAAUUCCUUCAUCUUGUAUGGCUAAUUCUUGUGGCUUUGUCGUGCUUAAACUGUUCCACAUGUACCAGAACUGAUUUUGGUCAAUUGCGUUUUCAAUUUCAUGAAGAGUCUUAUUGGUAUAAUUACAUUUCUUGCGUUUCAGUGUAGGUUUAUACUGUUUCAGAGUUUCAAAGUAUUCAUAAGGUACUUCUGGGUUGUUUUGUUGCUUAUGUUUUUCAUUUGACAUUUGUCUUAGAUGUUUUAUAAUUGUUUUACAUUCGCUGUCAAAACAUUUUUCAGAAACAUUUUGAUUUUUGUUUCUAAUGUUGCAUUUCUUUGGUUUUCUCAAAUUUGCUUUUGAUGCUUCUUUUUGGAAAAUGCAAUUAAUGUUUUGAGUAGCCGAAUUGACACCUUCUUUAUUGUUUUGGUAUUGUGAGUUAUUGAAGAACUGUAUAGAGUUCGUCAUUUCAUUUCAGUUCAAUGUUUCAAUGAAUCUCUCUGCACUGUUUUGAGCCCAUCUGUACGAUUGGUUUAUGUUGUAGAGUUUAUUGGGCUCUUUUUUUGAAUGAAUAUUGCCGGUUAAUUUCUUCAGAAACCCGUUGAUCUGACUGUGAUCUGACAAUGGUGUCUGUGGUCUGACAGUGAAUGCACUAAUGGAGGAGGGGUCGAAGUCAGUGAUGGCAUAAUCGACUACACUUGUCCCAAGAGCUGAGCAGGAAGUAAACCGACCUAAAGAGUCCCCUCUAAUUCUACCAUUAAGCAUGUACAGGCCUAAGGCUCGACAGAGGUGCACUAACUCCUUCCCAUUUUUGUUGAAUAUUUGGUCAGGACUGUUUCUAUUAUUUAUAAUAGGGCUGCUGUACAAGGAGGGGUGUCCAAAUAUGUGGUGGUUACCUCCCGUAUCAGUGUAGUCAGGCUCAGAACCUGUUCUUGCAUUGAAAUCUCCACAAAGAAGCACUUUACCUUCUGCCUGAAAUUAAAUGAUUUCUGUAUGGAGAUUGUCAAAAAACUGAUCAUCAUAAUAUGAUGAAUCUGAAGGAGGAGCAUAAGCUGCACAUAUGUAUACAUCAUUGUCGCAAUAGAUUGUACCUUUGUUAAGUUAUAGCCAAAUGUGGUUUCAUUUUAUUCAGUGCUAAGUCCUGCUUAUGCCAAAUGAUUAUUCCACCUGAGUCCUGGCCCCAUUUAAUAUUUUUAUGUUUGAUUGAUGGUAGUAAACUUUCUCUAUAGCCUGAGGGACACUGAGUUUCUAUGUCUCCAUGACACCAUGUUUCACACACACACACACACACACACACACACCAUUACAUAUAAUUAUUAUUAUAAUAUCAGUGCCAAUAAAAUAAAGAAUAGCUGUAAACAAAUGAAUAAGAAUGGAAUAAGAUUGCACAAAAAAGUACAGUACAAUGCAAUCUGCAACCCUGUGUAUGUGUGUGUGUAUGUGAAUGUGUGUGUGUGUGUGUGUGUGUGUGUGUGUGUGUGUGUGUGUGUGUGUGUGUGUGUGUGUGUGUGUGCGUGUGAAUUAAAGAUUAAAGUGUCUGUCUAGCACAGUAGUCUGCAUAUUAGAUGCAGUAGUUGGCGCACCUCUCCAAUCUCUGAUUGUUCUAGGUGUCUUUUGCCAGAGGUUACCUCAGCAUAUGUAGGCUGAUGAUCUGAAUGACACAUGGUGUGGAAUGCAUCAUGUGGUCCACUUCUCUGAAGAACAGUGUUCUGCCCGACCCUGGAGUAGUGGUCAGUGGUGUGUUGUGAUGGGCUGGAUCUAGUAGUGCUGUGUUGUGAUGGGCCUGGUCUAGCAGAGCUGUGUUGUGAUGGGGUCUAGUAGAGCUGUGUUGUGAUGGGCCUGGUCUAGUAGAGCUGUGUUGUGAUGGGCCGGGUCUGGUAGUGCUGUGUUGUGAUGGGCCGGGUCUAGUAGAGCUGUGUUGUGAUGGGCCGGGUUUAGUAGAGCUGUGUUGUGAUGGGGUCUAGUAGAGCUGUGUUGUGAUGGGCCGGGUUUAGUAGAGCUGUGUUGUGAUGGGGUCUAGUAGAGCUGUGUUGUGAUGGGCCGGGUCUAGUAGAGCUGUGUUGUGAUGGGCCUGGUCUAGUAGAGCUGUGUUGUGAUGGGCCGGGUCUAGUAGAGCUGUGUUGUGAUGGGCCGGGUCUAGUAGAGCUGUAUUGUGAUGGGCCGGGUUUAGCAGAGCUGUGUUGUGAUGGGCCGGGUCUAGUAGAGCUGUAUUGUGAUGGGCCGGGUUUAGCAGAGCUGUGUUGUGAUGGGCCGGGUCUAGUAGAGCUGUGUUGUAAUGGGCCUGGUCUAGCAGAGCUGUGUUGUGAUGGGCCGGGUCUAGUAGAGCUGUGUUGUGAUGGGCCGGGUUUAGUAGAGCUGUGUUGUGAUGGGGUCUAGUAGAGCUGUGUUGUGAUGGGCCGGGUUUAGUAGAGCUGUGUUGUGAUGGGGUCUAGUAGAGCUGUGUUGUGAUGGGCCGGGUUUAGUAGAGCUGUGUUGUGAUGGGCCUGGUCUAGUAGAGCUGUGUUGUGAUGGGCCGGGUCUAGUAGAGCUGUGUUGUGAUGGGGUCUAGUAGAGCUGUGUUGUGAUGGGCCGGGUCUAGUAGAGCUGUGUUGUGAUGGGCCUGGUCUAGUAGAGCUGUGCUGUAAUAAGCCAUGUCUGGCUCUUCUCUCCUGGGGAUGGUGGGGGUAUUGUUGUUUCAGAAGGUGGAGCGGGGGGCCUCUGCUGCUGGGGUGAUGGGUGUGUGGGUCCCUGCCAAGUGUUCCAUUCUUUAGGUCCAUAACAAAGGUUCUGAUACUGUCCUGAUCAAGAUGUACAUUAUGGUAUAAGUGUUGACAUGUCAGAGUGGGAUGGUGAGCCGUUCUGACGUUGAGCAGUGAGGCACAGUCCAUAGUGAUCUGUUGAUUUAUUUUGUCCAUCAACUGUCCUGGGAAGUCUUUUCUUGGUAAGAGGGUGGACACAACUAUAUUGGUUGUUGGGAACAUAGCCUGUGCCCGUUCUGCCACUCUUCUCACUGCCCCAGAUACAUUUCCACCUUUGGAAUGAAGGUUGUUUGUGCCUGUGUGGAUGAUGAUGUUGUCAAGGGUGUCAACCCUGGUCUGACUGAGUAGCUGCAUUGCACUGUCAGUUGUAGGACAACAGACCUUAUACAUCUGGUUUCUAGGGAAUCAUCUUUCCUGGACUAAGAACUUCCCAUUUGAAUCAAUAAGGAUUGCAGUUGUGGGUGAUUGUCUGGCUGGAGCACACUGGGUGGCUGGUUGGCUGACCUGGGCUGGAGCAGACUGGGAGGCUGGUAGGUUGACAUAGGCUGGAGCAGACUGUGUUGGAGCAGACUGUGUUGGAACAGACUGGGAAGCUGGUUGGCUGACCUGGGCUGGAGCAGACUGGGAGGCUGGUAGGUUGACAUAGGCUGGAGCAGACUGUGUUGGAGCAGACUGUGUUGGAACAGACUGGGAAGCUGGUUGGCUGACCUGGGCUGGAGCAGACUGGUAGGCUGGUGCAGUGUCAUCAGGCUGUGUGGUGGAGGCCAUGCUGGUUAUGCUGGUCUCAGGCUCUGCCUGGGUUGUACCAAGCUGGUGGACAUGUUCUCUUGAUGCAGAGGACAUAAUAACUAGCUGCUGGUUGAGGGGGUCAAUGUACCUCUCUCUCUGUUCUAGCUCCUCUCUUGUUGUGCUCAGAUGGUCUCUGAGGUCAUCAUUUGUCUGACUCAGCUUGUCCAUUCUGCUUUCCAAUUUAGCAAUAGAUGCUCUGCUCUCCUCCCUGAACUGUUUCAUCUCUUCAUUUCGUUUCUGGACAGUGUCCUCAUCUUGAAGCUUGUUCUAAGUUCUAUGACCUCUGCUUCGACUAGAGAGAGGGUGUUGUGGAAUCGUUGCAUAGCAGGUGUUCUUGGUGCUGUAGGCAUGUCCUUGGCUCUGUCUGCUGCAGAUGAGGUAGGUAGAGGGACACUGAGGGCUUCUUGCUGGGUCACAGAGACCAUUGGGGCCUGCUUUUCUCCAUCAUCUCCUUCCUUUACUUCUUCCUCAGUUUCUGAGAUGAGUUCAAAUUCUACUUUUAGGGUAGCAAACAUAUUCUCUAAAGCCUGGAGGCUUGAAUUAUUGCCUUGUAUCAAUACAGUUCCAUUAUUGUAGAAGUUCACUGUUUAAUACAUGUUGCUCUGGUCAGCUUCUUCAAAAAUGCUGAUCUGACAUCCUUGGCUGAUGCCUCUCUAUUUUGAGAAAAGGAAAUGGUUGCAAAUAACCCUUUUCCAUAUGUGCCCUCAUUUGCAAUUACAUAUUACAUUUGCUCUUGUUUCUCAACUGGUAAGAUCUGCAAACAGGCAUUCAUGGUUCUGUCCCAUCAUCAAAGCUUUUCUUAGCUUUCUGUUUGGAUGUCUGGUGGGUAAACAAUUUCCAUAGCAACGCUGGUGAUGUUGGCUACAAUGUUGCAAUAUAAGCCUACCUUUUCCAAAACAGCAUAGUUUCUUGUAUUAUUGUCUCUUGUGUCUUUAGAGGACUGUUUUCCUUUGAUGUCCUUUGUCUUCUGUCCUUAUUUUGUCUUUCUAUUCGUUUGUUAACAAGCUAUUUUUUGUUAGCUAGCUAGCUUCUUUUCGGAGAGUCCCUAGCAACUGCUUAGCAACUGGUAAACAAUUCAGCUAGCUAAGAUAACUACAAUUUUAUGAAAAAUUAUUACUUUUUCAAAAGCCUGCCUUCUUCGUUUGUUGCUUGUUUUAUCUCCUAUUCAGUCUUGCAGUUUUCUUUUGCUUUUUGCAAUAUACUUCACUCUAAAAACCAUGUAAAUCUCAAUAUUUGUAGGAGCUAAUUUUUUUCAGCAACUGCUACUCAAUUUGGAAC